Molecule: ribosomal RNA, 245 nt
Filed under: uncultured Lactobacillus sp.
Lineage: Bacteria; Bacillati; Bacillota; Bacilli; Lactobacillales; Lactobacillaceae
Description: partial 16S ribosomal RNA
Rfam family: Bacterial small subunit ribosomal RNA
Source: RNAcentral
CGUGGGUAACCUGCCCAAGAGAUCGGGAUAACACCUGGAAACAGAUGCUAAUACCGGAUAACAACAGAUGAUGCCUAUCAACUGUUUAAAAGAUGGUUCUGCUACCACUCUUGGAUGGACCUGCGGUGCAUUAGCUAGUUGGUAGGUAACGGCCUACCAAGGCGAUGAUGCAUAGCCGAGUUGAGAGACUGAUCGGCCACAUUGGGACUGAGACACGGCCCAAACUCCUACGGGAGGCAGCANCC